GGGCGCAAGCCUGAUGCAGCGACGCCGCGUGAGGGAUGACGGCCUUCGGGUUGUAAACCUCUUUCGCCAGGGACGAAGCGUAAGUGACGGUACCUGGAGAAGAAGCACCGGCCAACUACGUGCCAGCAGCCGCGGUAAUACGUAGGGUGCGAGCGUUGUCCGGAAUUACUGGGCGUAAAGAGCUCGUAGGUGGUUUGUCGCGUUGUUCGUGAAAACUCACAGCUUAACUGUGGGCGUGCGGGCGAUACGGGCAGACUGGAGUACUGCAGGGGAGACUGGAAUUCCUGGUGUAGCGGUGGAAUGCGCAGAUAUCAGGAGGAACACCGGUGGCGAAGGCGGGUCUCUGGGCAGUAACUGACGCUGAGGAGCGAAAGCGUGGGGAGCGAACAGGAUUAGAUACCCUGGUAGUCCACGCCGUAAACGGUGGGUACUAGGUGUGGGUUUCCUUCCUUGGGAUCCGUGCCGUAGCUAACGCAUUAAGUACCCCGCCUGGG
Molecule: ribosomal RNA, 494 nt
Filed under: Mycolicibacterium chlorophenolicum
Lineage: Bacteria; Bacillati; Actinomycetota; Actinomycetes; Mycobacteriales; Mycobacteriaceae
Description: bacterial SSU rRNA
Rfam family: Bacterial small subunit ribosomal RNA
Source: RNAcentral